GUCUAUUUCAGUGACAUCAGUGAAGGAUUCGAGAACUUUCUUGUGUUGUGAUUUGUAAUACCGGCCUUUUUCUUUGGAUUCUUGAAUCAUUUGAUUGUGGUGCUUUACUAGUGCUCUUCCCAGUCCUGUUUUCUCGUUCUUUCCCAUUUUUUGGUCUCCGGUAUUUCAGCCUCCGGCCAAGUUUGAACCGUUUCUGUUUUCGUUUUGCAGGGUUUGCAGGGUGUUUGAUUGUGUUCUUAAAAGAGAAGACGGUGGGAGAUGAAAACGGUGCGCAGUGGUAAACGUAAGGUCUCACGUGGGAGUGACCUUGGACGGCUGGACCUUAGAGAUACAUGGGCUGGGCCUAAAAGUAUACAGGCUUUAUUUUAUGUUCGGCUAAUGAAGCGCAGGUCCAACAAGAU
Molecule: long non-coding RNA, 401 nt
Filed under: Populus trichocarpa (black cottonwood)
Lineage: Eukaryota; Viridiplantae; Streptophyta; Magnoliopsida; Malpighiales; Salicaceae
Description: long non-coding RNA (PTRI_LNC002252)
Source: RNAcentral